Molecule: ribosomal RNA, 407 nt
Filed under: Polyphaga plancyi
Lineage: Eukaryota; Metazoa; Arthropoda; Insecta; Blattodea; Corydiidae
Description: partial 12S ribosomal RNA
Source: RNAcentral
UAUUAUUAAAUGAUACAAUUUUUAUUUACUUGAGUAGUAUUAGUUAUGAUCUUUAAACUUAAAGAAUUUGGCGGCAUUUUAGUCUGUUUAGAGGAAUCUGUCCCGUUAUCGAUAUUCCGCGUUAAAACUUACUUAACAUUAGGUUUAUAUACCGCCGUUUAAUUAAUGAGAAUCCUUAUUUUAGGUUUAAAUAAUUUUCUGAUUACUUGUGGUGAGUGUUAUUUCAGGUCAAGGUUUAAUUAAUGGUUAAGAGGAGAUGGAUUACAAUAAAUUUUAGUUUAAUUAUGGAUUAUUUUUUGUAAUUUUGAUAUGAAGGUGGAUUUAAUAGUAAUUUUGCUUAGUAUGGUUUGAUGAUUUUAGCUCUAAAAUGUGUACACAUCGCCCGUCACUCUCGUUUAUUUGAUGAG